GAUGAAGAACGUAGCGAAAUGCGAUAAGUAAUGUGAAUUGCAGAAUUCAGUGAAUCAUCGAAUCUUUGAACGCACCUUGCGCCCUUUGGCCAUUCCGAAGGGCAUGCCUGUUUGAGUAUCAUGAACACCUCAACUCUUCAUGGUUUUCCAUGAUGAGCUUGGACUUUGGGGGUCUCGCUGGCCUGUGGGUCGGCUCCUCUCAAAUGAAUCAGCUUGCCGGUUUUUGGUGGGCAUCACAGGUGUGAUAACUAUCUACGCUUGUGGUUUUCCACCAGGGUAACCUUCAGCAGUGGAGGUUCACUGGAGCUUACAAAUGUCUCUCCUCUGUGAGGACAGCCCUUUGAAUGUUUGAUCUCAAAUCAGGUAGGACUACCCGCUGAACUUAAGAAUAUCAAUAAGCGGAGGA
Molecule: unclassified non-coding RNA, 406 nt
Filed under: soil metagenome
Description: partial contains 5.8S ribosomal RNA, internal transcribed spacer 2, and large subunit ribosomal RNA
Rfam family: 5.8S ribosomal RNA (bases 1-121)
Source: RNAcentral